GCUAAGGCCCCAAAAUGACAGCUAAGUGGCAAAGGAGGUGAGAGUGCAGAAACAACCAGGAGGUUUGCUUAGAAGCAGCCAUCCUUUAAAGAGUGCGUAAUAGCUCACUGGUGGAGCGCUCUUGCGCCGAAAAUGUAUGGGACUAAGUUGUCUGCCGAAGCUGUGGGAUAUUAGUCUUUUAUGUCUUGCAAAUUUGACAAUUUUCUAAUAUCGGUAGGGGAGCGUUCUGCUGUAGGUUGAAGCGUAUCUGUAAAGAUGUGUGGACGAGGCAGAAGUGAGAAUGUCGGCUUGAGUAACGCAAACAAUGGUGUGAAUCCAUUGCCCCGAAAACCUAAGGGUUCCUUUACUAGGUUCGUCCAUGAAGGGUUAGUCAGGUCCUAAGAUUAGGCCGAAAGGCGUCGUCGAUGGAAAACAGGUUAAUAUUCCUGUACUACUUGUUAUAUAUGAACUGAGGGACGAAGAAGGCAGCCACACAGCAGAGUUGGAUCUGUUGAGAGACGUUUGAGGUGAUGAAAGAUAGAACAAAAACUAUUCUUGAGCUAAAUCGUGUUAUGCCCUUGUCCCUGAUAAUUCCUCGGAGUUAUGAAGCAAGGUUUGUGUCUACUGCCCUCGAGCUUCUUUAUUAUGACAGUAUCUGUACCCGAAUCCGACACAGGUAGGUAGGUAGAGUAUACUAAGGGGCGCGAGAUAACUCUCUCUAAGGAACUCGGCAAAAUAGCCCCGUACUC
RNAcentral lists this ribosomal RNA (728 nucleotides) under Chloroidium saccharophilum. RNAcentral describes it as "bacterial LSU rRNA". It matches the Rfam family "Bacterial large subunit ribosomal RNA", at positions 1038 to 1735 of the family's 2925-position model. Lineage: Eukaryota; Viridiplantae; Chlorophyta; Trebouxiophyceae; Watanabeales; Watanabeaceae. The record is from RNAcentral.